AUUGAACGCUGGCGGCAGGCCUAACACAUGCAAGUCGAACGCAUCCUUCGGGGUGAGUGGCAGACGGGUGAGUAACGCGUGGGAACGUGCCCUUCAGUUCGGAAUAACCCAGGGAAACUUGGGCUAAUACCGGAUACGUGCGAGAGCAGAAAGAUUUAUCGCUGAAGGAUCGGCCCGCGUCUGAUUAGCUAGUUGGUGGGGUAAUGGCCCACCAAGGCGACGAUCAGUAGCUGGUCUGAGAGGAUGAUCAGCCACAUUGGGACUGAGACACGGCCCAAACUCCUACGGGAGGCAGCAGUGGGGAAUAUUGGACAAUGGGCGCAAGCCUGAUCCAGCCAUGCCGCGUGAGUGAUGAAGGCCUUAGGGUUGUAAAGCUCUUUCGUCCGGGACGAUAAUGACGGUACCGGAAGAAGAAGCCCCGGCUAACUUCGUGCCAGCCGCCGCUGUAA
RNAcentral lists this ribosomal RNA (449 nucleotides) under uncultured bacterium. RNAcentral describes it as "partial 16S ribosomal RNA". It matches the Rfam family "Bacterial small subunit ribosomal RNA", at positions 30 to 523 of the family's 1533-position model. The record is from RNAcentral.